GACGAACGCUGGCGGCGUGCUUAACACAUGCAAGUCGAACGGAAAGGCCCUGCUUUUGUGGGGUGCUCGAGUGGCGAACGGGUGAGUAACACGUGAGUAACCUGCCCUUGACUUUGGGAUAACUUCAGGAAACUGGGGCUAAUACCGGAUAGGAGCUCCUGCUGCAUGGUGGGGGUUGGAAAGUUUCGGCGGUUGGGGAUGGACUCGCGGCUUAUCAGCUUGUUGGUGGGGUAGUGGCUUACCAAGGCUUUGACGGGUAGCCGGCCUGGGAGGGUGACCGGCCACAUUGGGACUGAGAUACGGCCCAGACUCCUACGGGAGGCAGCAGUGGGGAAUACUGCACAAUGGGCGGAAGCCUGAUGCAGCAACGCCGGGUGCGGGAUGACGGCCUUCGGGUUGUAAACCGCUUUCGCCUGUGACGAAGCGUGAGUGACGGUAAUGGGUAAAGAAGCACCGGCUAACUACGUG
RNAcentral lists this ribosomal RNA (468 nucleotides) under uncultured bacterium. RNAcentral describes it as "partial 16S ribosomal RNA". It matches the Rfam family "Bacterial small subunit ribosomal RNA", at positions 28 to 507 of the family's 1533-position model. The record is from RNAcentral.